UCCGGUUUGGCACCGGCAGUCUUCCUAGAGUCCCCGCCAUUACGCGCUGGCAACUAAGAACAGGGGUUGCGCUCGUUGCGCCACAUAAGGCAACACCUCACGGCACGAGCUGACGACAGCCAUGCACCACCUGUGCAGGCUCCGAAGAGCACCCGCUUUCACGGGUUUCACCCUGCAUGUCAAGCCCAGGUAAGGUCCUUCGCGUUGCGUCGAAUUAAACCACAUGCUCCGCUGCUUGUGCGGGUCCCCGUCAAUUCCUUUGAGUUUUAGCCUUGCGGCCGUACUCCCCAGGCGGGGCACUUAAUGCGUUAGCUGCGCCACCGAAGAGCAUGCUCUCCAACGGCUGGCAUUCAUCGUUUACGGCGUGGACUAC
This 373-nucleotide unclassified non-coding RNA is filed under the name uncultured bacterium. RNAcentral's name for it is "contains 16S-23S intergenic spacer region". The record is from RNAcentral.